Pelobates cultripes (western spadefoot toad) is the source of this 202-nucleotide non-coding RNA. The record is from the annotation of a GenBank genome assembly. Lineage: Eukaryota; Metazoa; Chordata; Amphibia; Anura; Pelobatidae.
CUUACAGUUAUUGAUGUAAUUUACAGCACAUAGAACAAAAUUAGCCAAAUCCCUUACAAAUUUAUAGCUAAAGUUAUUUUCAUUUUAUUUCUCUAUGUUUUUAGCCUUUGCAUUAUAAUUCUAAACACAACAGAUAACAUAGAUUCAUUUGGAAACUACAUAGGGCAUCAUGUAACAUCAUAGUAUAUACAUCAUACAAAAC